Molecule: long non-coding RNA, 373 nt
Filed under: Ictidomys tridecemlineatus (thirteen-lined ground squirrel)
Lineage: Eukaryota; Metazoa; Chordata; Mammalia; Rodentia; Sciuridae
Description: lncRNA (ENSSTOG00000034847.1)
Source: RNAcentral
GUUUUUCCUUCUCCUUGUCCUUCUUCUCUUUCUCCUUCCCAGUGCUGUGGAUGCAACCCACAGUCUUGGACAUGCUAGGCAAGCACUCUGCCACUGAGCUACACCCCCAGUUCUAAAUAACAGUUUUCCAUCUUCAAGGAAGAAACACAGAGACAUCAGAGAUUUCAGGCAGUUCAUCAAGAGUGGUGAAAUUCCAUCAUAAGUAUUCCGGAAACUUCUUGGUUCCUGAAAAGGAGUGUGCUGUGUUCCUGACUGAACAAACUUAUCUACUUCGGUCUAGAAUUUAAUCUGAGAUGACCCAGCAUUGAAGGGAGAAUUGUAACCACCAAAUGGGAAAAGGGAAAAGCCUAUGAGAAAUGUUCCAGUACUUUCU